AUACAGAUGAGGAGUCUCACGAUAGGACGAAACGGCCGUCCAGUAU
Molecule: non-coding RNA, 46 nt
Filed under: Schistosoma mansoni
Lineage: Eukaryota; Metazoa; Platyhelminthes; Trematoda; Strigeidida; Schistosomatidae
Source: RNAcentral